This 326-nucleotide ribosomal RNA is filed under the name uncultured eukaryote. Its description in RNAcentral is "partial 18S ribosomal RNA". It matches the Rfam family "Eukaryotic small subunit ribosomal RNA", at positions 1470 to 1796 of the family's 1831-position model. The record is from RNAcentral.
CCCUUAGAUGUUCUGGGCUGCACGCGCGCUACACUGAUGCGUUCAUCGAGUUUACGCCCUGGCCCGGCAGGGUUGGGUAAUCUUUUGAAAACGCAUCGUGAUGGGGAUAGAUUAUUGCAAUUAUUAAUCUUCAACGAGGAAUUCCUAGUAAGCGCGAGUCAUCAGCUCGUGCUGAUUACGUCCCUGCCCUUUGUACACACCGCCCGUCGCUCCUACCGAUUGAGUGAUCUGGUGAAUAAUUCGGACUGCAGCAUUGUUCAGUUCCUGAACGUUGUCGCGGAAAGUCUAGUGAACCUUAUCACUUAGAGGAAGGAGAAGUCGUAACA